UAGGGAAUAUUCCACAAUGAGCAAAAGCUUGAUGGAGCGACACAGCGUGCACGAUGAAGGUCUUCGGAUUGUAAAGUGCUGUUAUAAGGGAAGAACAUUUGCAAUAGGAAAUGAUUGCAGACUGACGGUACCUUGUCAGAAAGCGAUGGCUAACUAUGUGCCAGCAGCCGCGGUAAUACAUAGGUCGCAAGCGUUAUCCGGAAUUAUUGGGCGUAAAGCGUUCGUAGGCUGUUUGUUAAGUCUGGAGUUAAAUCCCGGGGCUCAACCCCGGCUCGCUUUGGAUACUAGCAAACUAGAGUUAGAUAGAGGUAAGCGGAAUUCCAUGUGAAGCGGUGAAAUGCGUAGAUAUAUGGAAGAACACCAAAGGCGAAGGCAGCUUACUGGGUCUAUACUGACGCUGAGGGACGAAAGCGUGGGGAGCAAACAGG
RNAcentral lists this ribosomal RNA (428 nucleotides) under Verrucomicrobiota bacterium. Its description in RNAcentral is "Verrucomicrobia bacterium partial 16S ribosomal RNA". It matches the Rfam family "Bacterial small subunit ribosomal RNA", at positions 355 to 776 of the family's 1533-position model. Lineage: Bacteria; Pseudomonadati; Verrucomicrobiota. The record is from RNAcentral.